CCUACGGGAGGCAGCAGUGGGGAAUAUUGCACAAUGGGGGAAACCCUGAUGCAGCGACGCCGCGUGAGUGAAGAAGUCAUUCGUUAUGUAAAGCUCUAUCAGCAGGGAAGAAAAUGACGGUACCUGAGUCAGAAGCUCCGGCUAACUACGUGCCAGCAGCCGCGGUCAUACGUAGGGGGCAAGCGUUAUCCGGAUUUACUGGGUGUAAAGGGAGCGUAGACGGGAGGGCAAGUCUGGAGUGAAAGGCGGGGGCUCAACCCCCGGACUGCUCUGGAAACUGUACGGCUGGAGUGCAGGAGAGGUAGGUGGAAUUCGUGGUGUAGCGGUGAAAUGCGUAGAUAUUAGGAGGAACACCAGUGGCGAAGGCGGCUUACUGGACUGUAACUGACGUUGAGGCUCGAAAGCGUGGGGAGCAAACAGGAUUAGAUACCCUAGUAGUC
RNAcentral lists this ribosomal RNA (440 nucleotides) under uncultured bacterium. RNAcentral's name for it is "partial 16S ribosomal RNA". It matches the Rfam family "Bacterial small subunit ribosomal RNA", at positions 338 to 795 of the family's 1533-position model. The record is from RNAcentral.